Molecule: long non-coding RNA, 3923 nt
Organism: Bombyx mori (domestic silkworm)
Lineage: Eukaryota; Metazoa; Arthropoda; Insecta; Lepidoptera; Bombycidae
Exons: 2
Source: RefSeq, a predicted model, not a curated record
UCUGUUUCACGCCAUUGACAUUGUCGAGAUGAUAAUGAGAUGCAUUGUACGUGAAUGCAUAUAAUUAAUAAUAACGCUAAAGAUACUGAUAUCUUCGUUCGGUUCAAAGUUUUUGUUUGUGUUUUACUUAAGUUUUAUCGAAUGAACAAUAUAUUUUUUUUAAACAAAAAACUCUUAGUAGAUUUUUUUAAUUUUGCUGCAAUAAUUAGGACUCGAUUUUUUUUUUUAACCGUAACUAAUUAUAAUGAAGCAUUCAGAAGUAUGUACAUACGUAUAUUAUUUUCAUUGUUUUAUUUAUUGGAACAAGCUAACCUUAUGAGUCAAUUAACUUCCGUGAUAUGUAUGAUGUCGAGCACAAAAAAAUUAGGGAUCCUUACUAAAACUCCAAUAAUGUAACCCAAGGUGUAAAAAAUCACCUAAAAUAUUCUUUAUAUCGCGUGCCCUACGAAAACUAUUGAUGAUAGAAUAAAAUAAUGUACUGCGACUUUGUAGAAAACAUUAUUAUUUAAAAAAAGUGUCGCGACAGCAUAUGUCUAACUAUUAUAGUUAUGGCGCAAUAAGUGUUCUUUUAUUUAAAAAAAUACGAAAACGUCAAAUAUCGUUGAAAUUUUUGUUAAAGACCCGAGCGGAGCCGGACCGGCCCCCUGAUCACGUAAAAAUUUGCGACAGCCACAAUUUUGCAGAUGUUGUGCAGACGCGUCGCGACCGAUCGCAAAACGUCAAAUUAUUUCGUAUCACGUACCGCGAUUGUUCGCUUACCGCUUACUGCAGUUUUCUGUCAUACAACUAGCGCCAGUCGCAAUCGGGUAGCAAUAAUUGGCACUAAAAAGCCACAUUACUUUUUUUUUUUUUGCUGAACAAACCGGCAAAUGAAUUUAUAAAAGCGCGUUACAUAUAAACAUUUUAAAAUGUUUAAGUGGAAUUCACGUUUGAAACGCCAAGUGAGAGCUGCUAAUUCUGUUCUUUUCGAUGAAGCGUUACUAAAAAUAAGUGAUCUAAUAAUAAUUUUUGCUUUAUUUUGAAUAAUAGCUACAAAAAUGUAAUUGUGUCAUGUCAAACACUGAUAACAUUUUUUUUUGUAAUCGUUUGAUAAUUUGUAAUCAGAUAGUUGUUUACGUUACGAACCUAUUUUAAAAAAGAAUGGAUCAAAAUUAUAGCCUAAUUUAUUAAUUUCAUUAUCAAUUAAGUAAGUACAUAAGCUCACAACCCAUCUAGUGUUAAGUGGUAUAGACUUCACAACGUGAAUGCCACCCCCAUUUUUAGAAACGAGGUCUGAGUUUCAACUGUAUACCAAAACGGCUGCCCCAUUCUUCAAAUUGCAACGCAUUACUGCUUCGCGGUAGAAAUGGGCGGAAUGGUGGUCUUGCGGGUUAAUCAAACGCCCUACCACCAACGAUUUCAGAAUAUUUGCUAAUUUGAUUUUAAAUAAAAGAUGAAUGAAUCCUUAAUCAUGGAAGUCUUCCAUGUAUACAUGUCAAAUAUGUGUUUCAUUGGAUUUAUUGAUAUCUGCCUGCGGGAUUCUAGCACUGGUUCAGUAAGAUUUCAAAUUAAAUAGUAAAUUCUAGAAUAAAUGAGUUAGUUUUAUGGUUUUAUCAAUAAUAAAGUGUACAACAGAUCCAUCUUACGCCGACAUGAGGCCGACAACGCUAGAACAACCAGUCGAUGAUAUUCUAGGUGAGAUGCUGCUAUUCUUUAUCAAGUAAUAGAUAGUGGAUUUGUUUGACUUGGCAAGAGUAGGCUUUGAUUUGAAUACCAGAAAUAUAGUGCUGUCUUUCACAGCUUGAAGGGAAAUAAAAGCUGUGCAGACUAUUCAUAAUAAUGUUCACCCAAGGUCAUGGGCAAUAUGACGUGAAUAGGAAACUGCAUGUCAGACAUUAACUUAAUGUUCUAUAUUAUUUUUAAACAAAUGAAUCUAAUAUUUUAAGACAAUAAAUAAAUAUUUAUUUUUAUAAUUAGCCCAGUUUUUCGUCGACGAAGCCAUCUUAAGAGAAGCUUCAUUGCAAAUAUCAGGCCGAUAUUUAACUAUAGCGGACAACAAACAAGAGUGGACACAUCGUGAGCUGUAGUUGUAGAAAGAGGAGAAAAUGGAAACUAAGGCGAACCACUGGCUCAUGCAGCUUUCAUUUCAGCAGAGGCUGUUCGUACGCAGGCAGAGGCCGCGCAUCUUUCAGCUGAGAUAUAUAAAAAAAUUCAAGGAAUUGACCAAUAUCGGCAAAAACCUUGUUUAAAAUAAUAAGUUCAAUUUUGUUUUAAUUUUAGCUGAGUCCAUAAUAGUUUAUAUUACCAUAAAAACGAAAUAGCGCUUGUUACAAUAGUCAAGCAAAUCCAAAUAUAUACGUUUUACUUUAGGCUGGUACUACAGUAAAUUUUAUGACACUAGUGAGUAUAUUUUACGCUAAUAAAACUACUCUCAACUUAGCAUUUCAAAAUGACUAUUUAUUUUUUUAUUGCUAAGAUGGGUGGACGAGCUUACAGCCCACCUGGUGUUAAGUGGUUACUGGAGCCCAUAGCCAUCUACAACGUAAAUGCGGCACCCACCUUGAGAUAUAAGUUCUAAGGUCUCAGUAUAGUUAUAACGGCUGCUCUACCCUUCAAAACGAAACGCAUUAAAGCUUCACGGUAGAAAUAGGCGGAGUGGUUGUACCUACUCGUGCGGACUCACAAGUGGUCCUACCACCAGUAGAAUACCAGUAUUUAGCUUCAUUGUAUAUUUUGUACUCACAGUAUUCGGCAUGUUCUGCUUCUAGUCUAUAGGGUUAUAGAGCUAUCACCUUGCUAUCAUUCUACUUACCUCGGCCCCAAGUUCAGUUAUGUUUCUUUGAAGUUAUCGGCAGUCGAUAUUAUAUUUCAAUUGUGGCUUCAAUUUCAUGCGGCAAGAAUUACAAACAAACUACGAUUUCCUAAUUUAAGAAUUAUUAUUCAAAUAAAACAAAAUUACACAAAAAAAAUUAUUAUCAAACUUAUCUAACGACCGUCUGGUGUAGUGGUAAGUGACAUGGUCGCUACACAAGGGGGUCGCGGGUUCGAAUCCCGCCAAGGGAAGAUAUUUGUAUGAUAAAUAUAAAUGUCUUUUCCAGGGUUUGGAAUUCCAGGGGAUGUAUAUUAAAUAUAUGUAUGUGUAUUGUGGCGGGUAGCCAUCAUACGACGCAAGAUAAUUGACAGAUGCCUGAAUCUCGCUUACGACAUUUUCAAGAUAAAGCGCAUAUAUACAAGUUCCGAACAACAACAUUCGGACCGUCGGUCUACCGAGCAAUAUCAUCCGCUCGGUGGAAGAUCUUCCUUUCGUCGUUAAGACUCCCCAAACUGGUGACCCCGACGGAACAAUCGCAGCUUUCUGAUUCAUCUUCAGCGCAUCAAGAACUCCGGCUACCACAAUCCCCGCAUUCUCGCAGAUAAAAGCACGUCAUUGACAGUCGUCCCACAGCAAGCCAGCAUCGCAGCCUCAACAGGACCAUCGCAGCCGACUCACCGCGCUUCCUGGUCCUACGGCACGCAACUUCACUGGCUCAUCACGCCGCAACAGUUCAUCGCAGCCCACGACCGGAUCAUCAACGCUUGGGGUCACACAUCUCCGGCGUGGCAGCUCUGCACACAUGGACUACUGGCGACACGCACGCAGCAUUCAAGCUCAGUCUCGACUCACCGCAGACUUCGAGCAGCACUGGCGACACGCACGCAGCAUUCAAGCUCAGCCUCGACUCACCGCAGGCUUCGAGCAGCACUGGCCCUUGCAAGCUAAUCUCAGCACGGACAACGCUAAUUAAAAAAAAAAAAAAAUGACACGACCUUCAGUCUCGGAGGGGAGUGAUGUGGCGGGUAGCCAUCAUACGACGCAAGAUAAUUGACAGAUGCCUGAAUCUCGCUUACGACAUUUUCAAGAUAAAGCGCAUAUAUACAAGUUCCGAACAACAACAUUCGGACCG